AUUGAACGCUGGCGGAAUGCUUUACACAUGCAAGUCGAACGAUGAACCUUAGCUUGCUAAGGGGAUUAGUGGCGAACGGGUGAGUAAUAUAUCGGAACGUGCCUUGUAAUGGGGGAUAACUAGUCGAAAGAUUAGCUAAUACCGCAUACGCCCUGAGGGGGAAAGUAGGGGAUCUUCGGACCUUACGUUAUAAGAGCGGCCGAUAUCUGAUUAGCUAGUUGGUGGGGUAAUGGCCUACCAAGGCGACGAUCAGUAGCUGGUCUGAGAGGACGACCAGCCACACUGGAACUGAGACACGGUCCAGACUCCUACGGGAGGCGGCAGUGGGGAAUUUUGGACAAUGGGCGCAAGCCUGAUCCAGCCAUUCCGCGUGAGUGAAGAAGGCCUUCGGGUUGUAAAGCUCUUUCGCAAGGGAAGAAAACUUACCAUCGAAUAAAUGGUGAGGCUGACGGUACCUUGAUAAGAAGCACCGGCUAACUACGUG
RNAcentral lists this ribosomal RNA (484 nucleotides) under uncultured bacterium. RNAcentral's name for it is "partial 16S ribosomal RNA". It matches the Rfam family "Bacterial small subunit ribosomal RNA", at positions 30 to 507 of the family's 1533-position model. The record is from RNAcentral.